GUCUGAUCUUGGAAGCUAAGCAGGGCUGUGCCAGGUUAGUAUUUGGAUGGGAGCCGCCUAGGUAUACCGAGUGCAGUAGGCUU
Molecule: ribosomal RNA, 83 nt
Filed under: Ailuropoda melanoleuca (giant panda)
Lineage: Eukaryota; Metazoa; Chordata; Mammalia; Carnivora; Ursidae
Source: RNAcentral